RNAcentral lists this ribosomal RNA (1460 nucleotides) under Escherichia coli. Its description in RNAcentral is "partial 23S ribosomal RNA". It matches the Rfam family "Bacterial large subunit ribosomal RNA", at positions 1504 to 2925 of the family's 2925-position model. Lineage: Bacteria; Pseudomonadati; Pseudomonadota; Gammaproteobacteria; Enterobacterales; Enterobacteriaceae. The record is from RNAcentral.
GUCCCGGUUUAAGCGUGUAGGCUGGUUUUCCAGGCAAAUCCGGAAAACCAAGGCUGAGGCGUGAUGACGAGGCACUACGGUGCUGAAGCGACAAAUGCCCUGCUUCCAGGAAAAGCCUCUAAGCAUCAGGUAACAUCAAAUCGUACCCCAAACCGACACAGGUGGUCAGGUAGAGAAUACCAAGGCGCUUGAGAGAACUCGGGUGAAGGAACUAGGCAAAAUGGUGCCGUAACUUCGGGAGAAGGCACGCUGAUAUGUAGGUGAAGCGACUUGCUCGUGGAGCUGAAAUCAGUCGAAGAUACCAGCUGGCUGCAACUGUUUAUUAAAAACACAGCACUGUGCAAACACGAAAGUGGACGUAUACGGUGUGACGCCUGCCCGGUGCCGGAAGGUUAAUUGAUGGGGUUAGCGGCAACGCGAAGCUCUUGAUCGAAGCCCCGGUAAACGGCGGCCGUAACUAUAACGGUCCUAAGGUAGCGAAAUUCCUUGUCGGGUAAGUUCCGACCUGCACGAAUGGCGUAAUGAUGGCCAGGCUGUCUCCACCCGAGACUCAGUGAAAUUGAACUCGCUGUGAAGAUGCAGUGUACCCGCGGCAAGACGGAAAGACCCCGUGAACCUUUACUAUAGCUUGACACUGAACAUUGAGCCUUGAUGUGUAGGAUAGGUGGGAGGCUUUGAAGUGUGGACGCCAGUCUGCAUGGAGCCGACCUUGAAAUACCACCCUUUAAUGUUUGAUGUUCUAACGUUGGCCCGUAAUCCGGGUUGCGGACAGUGUCUGGUGGGUAGUUUGACUGGGGCGGUCUCCUCCUAAAGAGUAACGGAGGAGCACGAAGGUUGGCUAAUCCUGGUCGGACAUCAGGAGGUUAGUGCAAUGGCAUAAGCCAGCUUGACUGCGAGCGUGACGGCGCGAGCAGGUGCGAAAGCAGGUCAUAGUGAUCCGGUGGUUCUGAAUGGAAGGGCCAUCGCUCAACGGAUAAAAGGUACUCCGGGGAUAACAGGCUGAUACCGCCCAAGAGUUCAUAUCGACGGCGGUGUUUGGCACCUCGAUGUCGGCUCAUCACAUCCUGGGGCUGAAGUAGGUCCCAAGGGUAUGGCUGUUCGCCAUUUAAAGUGGUACGCGAGCUGGGUUUAGAACGUCGUGAGACAGUUCGGUCCCUAUCUGCCGUGGGCGCUGGAGAACUGAGGGGGGCUGCUCCUAGUACGAGAGGACCGGAGUGGACGCAUCACUGGUGUUCGGGUUGUCAUGCCAAUGGCACUGCCCGGUAGCUAAAUGCGGAAGAGAUAAGUGCUGAAAGCAUCUAAGCACGAAACUUGCCCCGAGAUGAGUUCUCCCUGACUCCUUGAGAGUCCUGAAGGAACGUUGAAGACGACGACGUUGAUAGGCCGGGUGUGUAAGCGCAGCGAUGCGUUGAGCUAACCGGUACUAAUGAACCGUGAGGCUUAACCUUACAACGCCGAAG